UGGGGAAUAUUGGACAAUGGGCGCAAGCCUGAUCCAGCCAUGCCGCGUGUGUGGAGAAGGCCUUCGGGUUGUAAAGCACUUUUGUACGGGAAGAAAAGCACCCGGUUAAUACCCGGGUGUCAUGACGGUACCGUAAGAAUAAGCACCGGCUAACUUCGUGCCAGCAGCCGCGGUAAUACGAAGGGUGCAAGCGUUACUCGGAAUUACUGGGCGUAAAGCGUGCGUAGGUGGUUUGUUAAGUCUGAUGUGAAAGCCCUGGGCUCAACCUGGGAAUUGCAUUGGAUACUGGCAGUCUAGAGUGCGGUAGAGGGUAGCGGAAUUCCCGGUGUAGCAGUGAAAUGCGUAGAUAUCGGGAGGAACAUCCGUGGCGAAGGCGGCUACCUGGACCAGCACUGACACUGAGGCACGAAAGCGUGGGGAGCAAACAAGGAUUAGAUACCCUGGUAGUCCACGCCCUAAACGA
This 463-nucleotide ribosomal RNA is filed under the name uncultured Pseudomonadota bacterium. Its description in RNAcentral is "bacterial SSU rRNA". It matches the Rfam family "Bacterial small subunit ribosomal RNA", at positions 355 to 809 of the family's 1533-position model. The record is from RNAcentral. Lineage: Bacteria; Pseudomonadati; Pseudomonadota.